RNAcentral lists this RNase P RNA (357 nucleotides) under Gammaproteobacteria bacterium. RNAcentral describes it as "RNase P RNA component class A". It matches the Rfam family "Bacterial RNase P class A". From Rfam's summary of the family: Ribonuclease P (RNase P) is a ubiquitous endoribonuclease, found in archaea, bacteria and eukarya as well as chloroplasts and mitochondria. Its best characterised activity is the generation of mature 5'-ends of tRNAs by cleaving the 5'-leader elements of precursor-tRNAs. The record is from RNAcentral. Lineage: Bacteria; Pseudomonadati; Pseudomonadota; Gammaproteobacteria.
GGAACCGGCUGGACGGUCGCUGUAUCGCAUCGCGGUAUGGAGGAAAGUCCGGGCUCCACAGGACAGGGCGCCAGGUAACGCCUGGGCAGUGCAAGCUGACGGAAAGCGCCACAGAAAACAAACCGCCUACGUUCCCGCUUGCGGGAGCCGGCAAGGGUGAAAAGGUGCGGUAAGAGCGCACCGCGCGGCUGGCAACAGACGCGGCACGGCAAGCCCCGCCCGGAGCAAGACCAAAUAGAGGAGCAUUCACGUGUGGUCCGCACGGCUCCAGGGUAGGUCGCUACAGGCGCUUGGCGACAAGCGUCGCAGAUGAAUGGCCGUCCUCGACAGAACCCGGCUUACAGGCCGGUUCCCACU